AGUGAACGCUGGCGGUAGGCCUAACACAUGCAAGUCGAACGGCAGCACAGGACAGCUUGCUCUCUGGGUGGCGAGUGGCGGACGGGUGAGGAAUACAUCGGAAUCUGCCCAGUCGUGGGGGACAACGUAGGGAAACUUACGCUAAUACCGCAUACGACCUCCGGGUGAAAGAGGGGGAGCGAAAGACCGCUCGCGAUUGGAUGAGCCGAUGUCGGAUUAGCUAGUUGGCGGGGUAAUGGCCCACCAAGGCGACGAUCCGUAGCUCGUCUGAGAGUAUGAUAGGCCACACUAGAGCUUGGACACGGACCAGAGUCCUGCGAGAGGCAGCAGUGGGGAAUAUUAGACAACGGGCGCAAGCCUGAUCCAGCCAUACCGCGUGUGUGAAGACGGCCUUCGGGUUGUGAAGCCCUUUUGUUGGGAAAAAAAUCUUUCAGGCUAAUACCCUGGGAGAAUGACGGUACCCAAAGAAUAAGCACCGGCUAACUUCGUG
Molecule: ribosomal RNA, 490 nt
Filed under: uncultured bacterium
Lineage: Bacteria
Description: partial 16S ribosomal RNA
Rfam family: Bacterial small subunit ribosomal RNA
Source: RNAcentral